This 1532-nucleotide long non-coding RNA is filed under the name Homo sapiens (human). RNAcentral's name for it is "non-protein coding LINC00685:6". The record is from RNAcentral. Lineage: Eukaryota; Metazoa; Chordata; Mammalia; Primates; Hominidae.
GGGACCGGGCCGCUUCUUGUUCGGCGUGGGCGGCUCCUGGCAGACCCAUCCCGCGGUGCAGCCGCCGGCCCGGUAGGCGCCAGGACCCCGAGCCUCGGCGGCGGCGGCGGCGGCGGCAGCGCUGCCUUCACUCACCUCGUCCUCGCUCCCGUCCUACCCCGUUCCGCGCUGGGUGGAGUCCAAGUCUGAUUGCGAGAGUCCGGAACGCCGCCUCGGGGGCUUGACUCCAGCCCCGGGGAUCGAGAACGGCGCCCAGGGGUCCCUACGUCUGCCUUGGGGGCUCGAGUCCCGCCCUGGGCGUCCGUGACGUCGCCCAGGGGUCUCCACGUCUGCCCUGGAACCUGGAGAGCCGCCGUGGGGGCCCCGGAAGCUGCCCCGGAGUCCCCACGUCUGCCCUGGGGGCUCGAUCCAGCUCUGAGGGUCCUGAAGUCAGCUUUGGGGGUUCGAACCCAUCCAUCCCAGGGGUCCCUGAGUCUACAUUAGGGGCUGGAGUCCAGCCUUGAGGGUCUCCACUGCUGCCUUGGGGGCCUGGAUGGGAUCCAGCGGGUCUGAGUCCAGCCUCGGGAGCCCCUGCGGUGGAGCUCUGAGUGGGGCAGGGGCCUGGGAGAUGCCAGGAGGAUGAGAGCGGCGCCCCCCUGGUCCAGGGGACAGUAAGAGGCAGCCGGUCUCAGAGAAGCUACCCCAAAACUGUUACCCGUGGUGUGCAGAGCGUCCUGCAACCCCAGCCCUCACCAGGAUUUCUUGCGUUUUUCAGGAAAUCGGUUGUGAUUGGCAUGUUCCUUAAGCGUCUGCAGGAAGCCGAGGCCUUUUUGGUAUUUCAGGAGGGGUUGCUAACCCCCCUCCUUGUAGGAUCGGGGUAUCCCAGCUGCUAAUUCCCCUCCUAACAGCCCUGCAGCGCCUGGAUUGGAGGUGUGACAGGUGGCAUUUUUGGCCCGAAGUCCCUAGGCAGGACGGGUGGCUGUAGCCUGCGCGUUUGUGUAAAUUAACCUCCCUUUUUAGUUCUGUGAAGGGAGAACGUGAUUAGUUUAAAAUCACCUGCGUGAAAGAGGCUCUUGAUUAGUUUAAAAUCACCCACGUGAAAGGGGCUCUUGAUUAGCUUAAAAUCACCUGGGUGUUUCGUUUUAUCUCAGUUGGCCUCUGAAUGUUUAUCCUACAGCUUCCUGCAAGCUCCAGUCUACCUUCUAAGGGAAUAACGGGGCUCGUCUUUCUACGUUACUUUAUGUGGGAGUAGUUGUAAAACAGAAUGAGGGAGACCGCGGGGAUUGUGCGGAAAUGUAGCCACCGUUUACAUGUCGGGAGGCUGAGGUGGGAGGAUCGCUUGAGCCCAGGAGUUUGACACCAGCCUGGGCAACAUGGUAAGACCCCUUCUCUACCCUCCCCCCCAAAAAAAAAAUUUUAGUGUGGCAUGGUGGUGGGUGCCUGUGGUCCCAGCUACUCGGGACGCUGAGGUGGGAGGAUUGCUUGAGCCCAGGAGUUUGACACCAGCAUGGGCAAUAUGGUAAGACCCCAUUAUCUACAAAAAAAAAAAAAAA